Molecule: ribosomal RNA, 497 nt
Filed under: uncultured bacterium
Lineage: Bacteria
Description: partial 16S ribosomal RNA
Rfam family: Bacterial small subunit ribosomal RNA
Source: RNAcentral
GAUGAACGCUGGCGGCGUGCCUAAUACAUGCAAGUCGAGCGAACAGAUGAGGAGCUUGCUCCUCUGACGUUAGCGGCGGACGGGUGAGUAACACGUGGAUAACCUACCUAUAAGACUGGGAUAACUUCGGGAAACCGGAGCUAAUACCGGAUAAUAUAUUGAACCGCAUGGUUCAAUAGUGAAAGACGGUUUUGCUGUCACUUAUAGAUGGAUCCGCGCCGCAUUAGCUAGUUGGUAAGGUAACGGCUUACCAAGGCAACGAUGCGUAGCCGACCUGAGAGGGUGAUCGGCCACACUGGAGCUGAGACACGGUCCAGACUCCUACGGGAGGCAGCAGUAGGGAAUCUUCCGCAAUGGGCGAGAGCCUGACGGAGCAACGCCGCGUGAGUGAUGAAGGUCUUCGGAUCGUAAAACUCUGUUAUUAGGGAAGAACAAAUGUGUAAGUAACUAUGCACGUCUUGACGGUACCUAAUCAGAAAGCCACGGCUAACUACGUG